RNAcentral lists this ribosomal RNA (1226 nucleotides) under Escherichia coli. RNAcentral describes it as "partial 23S ribosomal RNA". It matches the Rfam family "Bacterial large subunit ribosomal RNA", at positions 375 to 1609 of the family's 2925-position model. The record is from RNAcentral. Lineage: Bacteria; Pseudomonadati; Pseudomonadota; Gammaproteobacteria; Enterobacterales; Enterobacteriaceae.
GUACACAAAAAUGCACAUAUUGUGAGCUCGAUGAGUAGGGCGGGACACGUGGUAUCCUGUCUGAAUAUGGGGGGACCAUCCUCCAAGGCUAAAUACUCCUGACUGACCGAUAGUGAACCAGUACCGUGAGGGAAAGGCGAAAAGAACCCCGGCGAGGGGAGUGAAAAAGAACCUGAAACCGUGUACGUACAAGCAGUGGGAGCCUCUUUAUGGGGUGACUGCGUACCUUUUGUAUAAUGGGUCAGCGACUUAUAUUCUGUAGCAAGGUUAACCGAAUAGGGGAGCCGAAGGGAAACCGAGUCUUAACUGGGCGUUAAGUUGCAGGGUAUAGACCCGAAACCCGGUGAUCUAGCCAUGGGCAGGUUGAAGGUUGGGUAACACUAACUGGAGGACCGAACCGACUAAUGUUGAAAAAUUAGCGGAUGACUUGUGGCUGGGGGUGAAAGGCCAAUCAAACCGGGAGAUAGCUGGUUCUCCCCGAAAGCUAUUUAGGUAGCGCCUCGUGAAUUCAUCUCCGGGGGUAGAGCACUGUUUCGGCAAGGGGGUCAUCCCGACUUACCAACCCGAUGCAAACUGCGAAUACCGGAGAAUGUUAUCACGGGAGACACACGGCGGGUGCUAACGUCCGUCGUGAAGAGGGAAACAACCCAGACCGCCAGCUAAGGUCCCAAAGUCAUGGUUAAGUGGGAAACGAUGUGGGAAGGCCCAGACAGCCAGGAUGUUGGCUUAGAAGCAGCCAUCAUUUAAAGAAAGCGUAAUAGCUCACUGGUCGAGUCGGCCUGCGCGGAAGAUGUAACGGGGCUAAACCAUGCACCGAAGCUGCGGCAGCGACACUAUGUGUUGUUGGGUAGGGGAGCGUUCUGUAAGCCUGUGAAGGUGGCCUGUGAGGGUUGCUGGAGGUAUCAGAAGUGCGAAUGCUGACAUAAGUAACGAUAAAGCGGGUGAAAAGCCCGCUCGCCGGAAGACCAAGGGUUCCUGUCCAACGUUAAUCGGGGCAGGGUGAGUCGACCCCUAAGGCGAGGCCGAAAGGCGUAGUCGAUGGGAAACAGGUUAAUAUUCCUGUACUUGGUGUUACUGCGAAGGGGGGACGGAGAAGGCUAUGUUGGCCGGGCGACGGUUGUCCCGGUUUAAGCGUGUAGGCUGGUUUUCCAGGCAAAUCCGGAAAACCAAGGCUGAGGCGUGAUGACGAGGCACUACGGUGCUGAAGCGACAAAUGCCCUGCUUCC